UCAAGACAAUGGGAAAAAGGCCUUGAAGGCAUUUCAGAGACCUUUGUAACAGCCCUUGCUGUCACUGGCCCUGGGGCCUAGGAGAAAAGAAUAGUUUCCUGGCCCAGCCCCAUGGCUCCACUGCUGUGUGCAGCCUCAGGACACUGCUGCCUGCAUCCCUGCAGCUCCAUCUCCAGCUCCAGCCAUGGAUGAAAGAUGCACAGGUACAGCUUGCAUCACACUUCAGGGGGUGCAAGCUCCAAGCCUUGGUGGCUUCCACAUAGUGUUAAGCC
This 272-nucleotide long non-coding RNA is filed under the name Homo sapiens (human). RNAcentral describes it as "HSALNT0393175". The record is from RNAcentral. Lineage: Eukaryota; Metazoa; Chordata; Mammalia; Primates; Hominidae.